This 827-nucleotide ribosomal RNA is filed under the name Ramularia coleosporii. RNAcentral's name for it is "eukaryotic LSU rRNA". It matches the Rfam family "Eukaryotic large subunit ribosomal RNA", at positions 71 to 929 of the family's 3401-position model. The record is from RNAcentral. Lineage: Eukaryota; Fungi; Ascomycota; Dothideomycetes; Mycosphaerellales; Mycosphaerellaceae.
GGGAUUGCCCUAGUAACGGCGAGUGAAGCGGCAACAGCUCAAAUUUGAAAUCUGGCGCAAGCCCGAGUUGUAAUUUGUAGAGGAUGCUUCUAGGUAGCGACCGGUCUAAGUUCCUUGGAACAGGACGUCAUAGAGGGUGAGAAUCCCGUAUGUGACCGGCCCGCACCUUCUACGUAGCUCCUUCGACGAGUCGAGUUGUUUGGGAAUGCAGCUCUAAAUGGGAGGUAAAUUUCUUCUAAAGCUAAAUACCGGCCAGAGACCGAUAGCGCACAAGUAGAGUGAUCGAAAGAUGAAAAGCACUUUGGAAAGAGAGUUAAAAAGCACGUGAAAUUGUUGAAAGGGAAGCGCUUACAACCAGACUUCUGGGCGGUGUUCCGCCGGUCUUUUGACCGGUCUACUCGCCGUCCCGAGGCCAACAUCAUCUGGGACCGCUGGAUAAGACCUCAGGAAUGUAGCUCCCCUCGGGGAGUGUUAUAGCCUGUGGUGAUGCAGCGCGUCUCGGGUGAGGUCCGCGCUUCGGCAAGGAUGUUGGCGUAAUGGUUGUCAGCGGCCCGUCUUGAAACACGGACCAAGGAGUCUAACAUCUAUGCGAGUGUUCGGGUGUCAAACCCCUACGCGUAAUGAAAGUGAACGGAGGUGGGAAGGGCAACCUGCACCAUCGACCGAUCCUGAUGUCCUCGGAUGGAUUUGAGUAAGAGCAUAGCUGUUGGGACCCGAAAGAUGGUGAACUAUGCCUGAAUAGGGUGAAGCCAGAGGAAACUCUGGUGGAGGCUCGCAGCGGUUCUGACGUGCAAAUCGAUCGUCAAAUUUGGGUAUAGGGGCGAAAG